This is a long non-coding RNA of Oncorhynchus tshawytscha (Chinook salmon), 1931 nucleotides long. The record is from Ensembl. NCBI's taxonomy places the organism in Eukaryota, Metazoa, Chordata, Actinopteri, Salmoniformes, Salmonidae.
CAGAUCAUGUGACACUUAGAUUGCACACAGGUGGACUUUAUUUAACUAAUUAUGUGACUGAAGGUAAUUGGUUGCACCAGAUCUUAUUUAGGGGCUUCAUAGUAAAGAAUACAUAUGCACACACACCACUUUUCCGUUAUUUAGAUAUUUUUGAAACAAGUUUUUUAUUUUAUUUCACUUUACCAAUUUGGACUAUUUUCUUUGUUUGUCCAUUACAUGAAAUCCAAAUAAAAAUCCAUUUAAAUUACAGGUUGUAAAGCAACAAAAUAGGAAAAACGCCAAGGGGGAUGAAAUACUAUUGUCAGGCACUGUAUUUUCUCACACGUUUGCUGUGCCCCAAAUGGCGUGCAAUCCCCUACAUAGUGCAUUCUCUUUGGCAAGGGCCCACAGAAGUAGUGCACUACAUAGGGAAUGGGAUGCCUAGUCUCUCCACACAGCCUCUGUAUGUCCGGCAAGCCGGACUAUAGCUCACAGGAUGAAAUCACAAACAAUUUACCCAAACCUAUUUUAGUUAUAGCAUUAUUUCAUUUCAUGUUAGAAACUACGUGUCCUUUUUCAUAACUCCCUGUUGAUGCAUUCAUUAACCAAACCAUACAAUAUUAAUAACCAUAACGAGAGAGAGAGACUCGAUAACAACCUGGAUGUAUGUAAUAGUUUUACUAUUACAGAGGUUUCUAUACACUGAGCAGGGCCAUAGACAUGGGUUACAGUCCAGAUCACAUCCUGAUAUAUUCCCUAGGGACUGAGCAGGGCCAUAGACAUGGGUUACAGUCCAGAUCACAUCCUGAUAUAUUCCCUAGGGACUGAGCAGGGCCAUAGACAUGGGUUACAGUCCAAAUGGCAUCCUGAUAUAUUCCCUAGGGACUGAGCAGGGCCAUAGACAUGGGUUACAGUCCAGAUCACAUCCUGAUAUAUUCCCUGUAUAGUCAGAAGGAGUGGACUGUGUAGGGAAUAGGGACUGUGUAGGGAAUAGGGACUGUGUAGGGAAUAGGGACUGUGUAGGGAAUAGGGACUGUAUAGGGAAUAGGGACUGUGUAGGGAAUAGGGACUGUGUAGGGAAUAGGGACUGUGUAGGGAAUAGGGACUGUAUAGGGAAUAGGGACUGUGUAGGGAAUAUAUAACAUAAAACACUGGCUAACCACUGGUGUGGGGUUAAGACUCAGUGGAAAUGCAUCACCAUAGUACUAGACUAGUACUCAUAUUUAGUCAGUACUGCUGUAGUACUCUUAUACAGUACAGUUUAAGUCAGUACUGCUAUAGUACUCUUAUACAGUACAGUUUAAGUCAGUACUGCUAUAGUACUCUUAUACAGUACAGUUUAAGUCAGUACUGCUAUAGUACUCUUAUACAGUACAGUUUAAGUCAGUACUGCUAUAGUACUCUUAUACAGUACAGUUUAAGUCAGUACUGCUGUAGUACUCUUGUACAGUGCAGUUUAAGUCAGUACUGCUAUAGUACUCUUAUACAGUACAGUUUAAGUCAGUUCUGCUAUAGUACUCUCAUACAGUACAGUUAAAGUCAGUACUGCUAUAGUACUCUUAUACAGUACAGUUUUAAUGUGCAAUUAGCUGUAGCCCCUAACAUGGCGAUCAAUAAUCAAUAAUAUUACGAAGUUGGAUAAAAUAUUGAUCAUAUUUAUAAUUCGCAUUGACAUUGAUAAAUGGUGCUGGACUGUAAUUAAGGUUAUGAGGUACACUAGUGACUUUACAUUGAGCCCUGGUGAUGGGAGUCUGGUGGCAGAGUUAUGAGGUACACUAGUGACUUUACAUUGAGCCCUGGUGAUGGGAGUCUGGUGGCAGAGUUAUCAGGUACACUAGUGACUUUACAUUGAGCCCUGGUGAUGGGAGUCUGGUGGCAGAGUUAUCAGGUACGCUAGUGACUUUACAUUGAGCCCUGGUGAUGGGAGUGACUUUACAUUGAGCCCUGGUGAU